Molecule: long non-coding RNA, 246 nt
Filed under: Dromaius novaehollandiae (emu)
Lineage: Eukaryota; Metazoa; Chordata; Aves; Casuariiformes; Dromaiidae
Description: lncRNA (ENSDNVG00000007734.1)
Source: RNAcentral
GAGAGAGCCAAAAGCAUGCAUGAACUUGUUGAUGUUCUAGGUUUACUACCACAUACAGGAAAAUUUACAUAACAAUCUCRCAUCCUACUCUGCAUCCAAGAUCUGUGGUGUAUUGUGGAUUUUUUUUUUCUUUCUUUUAGUCUAAGAAGGUUUCUGAAAUGGGGAAAGUGCCAACCUCAGAUCAUCAAAGGGUUACCUCGUCAAAACUGCCCAAGAGGUUAUAACAAAGAUAAUAGAAUUGCUUGA